GCAAUACUACGUCCCCUUGAGGGGCAAAGUAAACGAUGAUCCGGGCGGAACUCUCGGGUAAAAUAUGUAUCAAACUGAAAAAUUCACUCGUCUUGGAUAGCAAACUAUCUGAGGCGGGGUUGUU
This 124-nucleotide small RNA is filed under the name Rosenbergiella nectarea. RNAcentral describes it as "Enterobacteria greA leader". It matches the Rfam family "Enterobacteria greA leader". The record is from RNAcentral. Lineage: Bacteria; Pseudomonadati; Pseudomonadota; Gammaproteobacteria; Enterobacterales; Erwiniaceae.